This 235-nucleotide ribosomal RNA is filed under the name uncultured bacterium. Its description in RNAcentral is "partial 16S ribosomal RNA". It matches the Rfam family "Bacterial small subunit ribosomal RNA", at positions 28 to 253 of the family's 1533-position model. The record is from RNAcentral.
GACGAACGCUGGCGGCGUGCUUAACACAUGCAAGUCGAGCGGUAAGGCCCUUUCGGGGGUACACGAGCGGCGAACGGGUGAGUAACACGUGAGUGACCUGCCCUUCACUUUGGGAUAACGUGCGGAAACGUGCGCUAAUACCAAAUAUUCGCAUUUCUGCUGCAUGGUGGGGUGUGGAAAGGGGCCUUCGGUUCGUGGUGGGGAGUGGGCGUCGCGGCCUAUCAGCUGUGUUGGG